ACCAGAAGAGUCUCCUACAGAUCUUGUAUGAUAACGCAACAAGCGCGCCAUCUCAGAUCCCCCGCUCGCGCUAUUUGUUACAAAGUGGAAUGGUGUAUUCGGAAAUGAAUGCGGUUUACAAGGAAAUCUACGGUUUUAGAGGAGUCAAGAAUCGCUUCUACAGCUGAGAUAACUCAACCAGAUUAUAAGACAGGUUCCUUAUCGUAAAUGUCAAAUGGUGAAGUUACCCGUGUUUUACAUCAGGGUCUUCUGAUGAAUUUGAAGUUAACCAACUAUUCUAAGUAUAAACCGUGUCUCAGGUUAUGACGAAUCGCAUAAACAGUGGAUCAAGUGAAUCACAGCUAGAGCUCUCUGAACAGAAUUUGCUCUAUAAUUUGGAGCAAUAUUACCACCGCAGUUACGGGAGAUGUGCAGGAUCACACGAUCUAGUCAUUCAGUUAUAACAAUGAAAAUGGGUUAUCAUUGUGAAUAUCUUGUCAUAUUUUCUUUGUCUAGUUUAAUAUAUUAUGUUUGAUUCCAUUAUAUUGUUCCUAAUUAAACAAAAAAUUUAUAUAACAUUGUCAUUGAUACGAUUUAACCCUUAAAUUAAAUGUACUAAUAACCGAAUACAGAAACGAAUAUGUGAUAAAUA
Molecule: long non-coding RNA, 631 nt
Organism: Homalodisca vitripennis (glassy-winged sharpshooter)
Lineage: Eukaryota; Metazoa; Arthropoda; Insecta; Hemiptera; Cicadellidae
Exons: 2
Source: RefSeq, a predicted model, not a curated record